This is a long non-coding RNA of Mauremys reevesii (Reeves's turtle), 882 nucleotides long. RefSeq lists it as uncharacterized. The transcript is spliced from 2 exons. Lineage: Eukaryota; Metazoa; Chordata; Testudines; Geoemydidae. The record is from RefSeq and is a predicted model, not a curated record.
AUCAGCUAGUCUGAUUCCUGCAUGUCACAGGCCACAAACACCACUCAGCACCUGAAACCCAACAACUGAAAUUUGACCAAGGUAUGACAGCCCUCAGGUGACUAAACAAUUAUGUGCCACAGGUGGAACAGAGAUGUACCAAUGCCUGAGAUCCCUGCAACAACAAGAAAUUGAUUGAGAUAUCCCAGAAGAACUUGUCAUUUCUGAGACGCUUUCUGUUUGGGAAGGCACAAAGUCAGCAUAUCAAUUUAUGGCUAAAAUCCUGAGUGUGGCUGAACACAACCAACAACAGUUGACAUCAAUGGGAGAUGCAGGUGCUUAGGCCUUCUCAAGGCCUUAUGCAGCAAUAAAGGAGUUUAGGGUAGAAUUCACCUCUCCCUACACAAAGCCAGAAUACUAAGGAUUUGGGGAGGAAAACAGGAGUUGGAAGAUUGGAAUGUAGCACCCCCCAACCUGUAUGCAGUUUGCAGGGCUGCAUUGCUGGAGCUCCACAGCUGCCUAUGGACUGGAAUAGUGAUUGCUGUAUCCUUUGCCGGAAGCAUGGGACACUAGCUUCAUGUCAGCAUGGAUUCUGUACCCUUCUUCUCAACUUCUCCAGUGGCCUGUCCUGUACCAAUGUAUUUCCAUCUAGUGUGGAGUCUGUCUCAGCAGUAUGCAGGAGGCUCUCUUCUUUGGCUUCUGUGUUUGUUCCUCCACCCUACUUCAUAAAAAAUAGUGGGGCUCAAAUGACAUGCUGGAGGACCUUUCACACGUCCUUCACUCCACGGCAAGUUUCACCUUUAGUAAAUAGGAGAUCAUAGAUAGAGAGAGAUAAAGAUACAUAAUUGAGCAUUUCUUUUCAUGUACUCUAUACCUUUGAAGUAAAACACAAAGAAAAGUGAA